CUUUUCAUAGACGUCCAACCCUUCAGGAGAUAAACAUAUCACGCAGGGAAGCCACAGAACGCCUGACUUCUGAUCUUUCUAAAAUUUCUGAUUGGGGCAGAGCAAACUUGGUAUUGUUCAAUGCCUCAAAAAGUCAAUUCCUCCAUCUAUCAACUCGACACAAUCUUCCAGACAACUAUCCCCUCUUCUUCAAUGACACUCAACUGUCCCCCUCUUCUACACUGAACAUCCUCGGUCUGUCCUUUACUUAUAAUCUGAACUGGAAACUUCACAUCUCAUCUCUAGCUAAAACAGCUUCUAUGAAGUUAGGUGUUCUGAGACGUCUCCGCCAGUUUUUCUCACCCCCCCAGCUGCUAACUCUGUACAAGGGCCUUAUCCGUCCAUGUAUGGAGUAUGCUUCACAUGUCUGGGGGGGUUCCACUCAUACUGCUCUUCUAGACAGGGUGGAAUCAAAAGCUUUUCGUCUCAUCAACUCCUCUCCUCUAACUGACUGUCUUCAGCCUCUCUCACACCGCCGCAAUGUUGCAUCUCUAGCUGUCUUCUACCGCUAUUUUCAUGCUAACUGCUCUUCUGAUCUUGCUAACUGCAUGCCUCCCCUCCUUCCGCGGCCUCGCUGCACAAGACUUUCUUCUUUCUCUCACUCCUAUUCUGUCCACCUCUCUAACGCAAGAGUUAACCAGUAUUCUCAAUCAUUCAUCCCUUUCUCUGGUAAACUCUGGAACUCCUUGCCUGCUUCUGUAUUUCCACCUUCCUAUGACUUGAAUUCCUUCAAGAGGGAGGUUUCAAGACACUUAUCCACCAAUUUUUGACCACUGCUUUGACCCUUUUAAGGGACUGGCAUUUCAGUGGGCAUUUUUUUUUUAUUAGAUUUUUGUUGCCCUUGGCCAGUAUCCUUCCUACAUAAAAAAAAAAAAAAAAAAAAAAAAAAAAAAAUCAAUGUGAUUUUCAGACACACUUCAGUCACAAGAUGAAUGCAGUCAGCUACAGCAUGACAUAGACAAGCUAUAGACAGUUGAGAGAGGAAGAAGUCAGUGGCACCCUCACCUCAGACAAGACAAAGCUAACAAUUGAUAAUGAAAGACACACUUCAGUCACAAGAUGAAUGCAGUCAGCUACAGCAUGACAUAGACAAGCUAUAGACAGUUGAGAGAGGAAGAAGUCAGUGGCACCCUCACCUCAGACAAGACAAAGCUAACAAUUGAUAAUGAAAGACACACUUCAGUCACAAGAUGAAUGCAGUCAGCUACAGCAUGACAUAGACAAGCUAUAGACAGUUGAGAGAGGAAGAAGUCAGUGGCACCCUCACCUCAGACAAGACAAAGCUAACAAUUGAUAAUGAAAGACCAGCAGCAGCAGCAGCAGCAGCAGCAGCAGCACACACAAGAGGUGUUUUCUGUAUGAUGAUGAUGAUGGAAAAAGCACAUCUCGAAAGGAUGUUAUAAGCAGGGCAACGUAAUGAAAUUCAGUGAAUGGACGUGUGUGCGUGGCUGCAAUCACUAUGAAAUUAAGUUGAAAAUAAGAAAUAUAUUACUUUACAGAAAGGAAUGCUUAGAGUGAAUGAAAUUACUGUAAUGAAUGAAUGGAAAUAAAGUUGUGAGUCAUUAAAUGAUUAGGAAAAGAAGCUGUGAAUAGGUGCAUUAUUGUUAUUACUGAAAGGAAGAAUAUUUGUAGGAUAUGUCAUGUAUAUUAUCAAAGUGUUUUCAUUCUUACUUUCUUCUUUCUCUUUCAUCUUUUCUUAGUAUAUUUAAGUGAAUUUCUCUCUCUCUCUCUCUCUCUCUCUCUCUCUCUCUCUCUCUCUCUCUCUCUCUCUCUCUCUCUCUCUCUCUCUCUCUCUCUCUCCAGCCAUCUCUUCUCUCUCCUUCCAUCUUUUUCUUAGUAUAUUUAAGUGAAUUUCUCAGAUUCUCUCUCUCUCUCUCUCUCUCUCUCUCUCUCUCUCUCUCUCUCUCUCUCUCUCUCUCUCU
This is a long non-coding RNA of Scylla paramamosain (green mud crab), 1961 nucleotides long. RefSeq lists it as uncharacterized. The transcript has 4 exons. The record is from RefSeq and is a predicted model, not a curated record. NCBI's taxonomy places the organism in Eukaryota, Metazoa, Arthropoda, Malacostraca, Decapoda, Portunidae.